RNAcentral lists this ribosomal RNA (450 nucleotides) under uncultured bacterium. Its description in RNAcentral is "partial 16S ribosomal RNA". It matches the Rfam family "Bacterial small subunit ribosomal RNA", at positions 354 to 796 of the family's 1533-position model. The record is from RNAcentral.
GUGGGGAAUAUUGGACAAUGGGCGAAAGCCUGAUCCAGCCAUGCCGCGUGUGUGAAGAAGGUCUUCGGAUUGUAAAGCACUUUAAGUUGGGAGGAAGGGCAGUAAGUUAAUACCUUGCUGUUUUGACGUUACCGACAGAAUAAGCACCGGCUAACUCUGUGCCAGCAGCCGCGGUAAUACAGAGGGUGCAAGCGUUAAUCGGAAUUACUGGGCGUAAAGCGCGCGUAGGUGGUUCGUUAAGUUGGAUGUGAAAGCCCCUGGCGCAACCUGGGAACUGCAUCCAAAACUGGCGAGCUAGAGUACGGUAGAGGGUGGUGGAAUUUCCUGUGUAGCGGUGAAAUGCGUAGAUAUAGGAAGGAACACCAGUGGCGAAGGCGACCACCUGGACUGAUACUGACACUGAGGUGCGAAAGCGUGGGGAGCAAACAGGAUUAGAAACCCGUGUAGUCC